GCUAGCGAUAGGCUUAACACAUGCAAGUCGAGGGGCAGCAUGAUCUUAGCUUGCUAAGGUUGAUGGCGACCGGCGCACGGGUGCGUAACGCGUAUGCAACUUGCCUUACAGAGGGGGAUAACCCGUUGAAAGACGGACUAAAACCGCAUACACUUGUAUUAUUGCAUGAUAUUACAAGGAAAUAUUUAUAGCUGUAAGAUAGGCAUGCGUCCCAUUAGCUGGUUGGUGAGGUAACGGCUCACCAAGGCGACGAUGGGUAGGGGAACUGAGAGGUUUAUCCCCCACACUGGUACUGAGACACGGACCAGACUCCUACGGGAGGCAGCAGUGAGGAAUAUUGGUCAAUGGGCGAUAGCCUGAACCAGCCAAGUCGCGUGAAGGAAGACAGUCCUAAGGAUUGUAAACUUCUUUUAUACGGGAAUAACGGGCGAUACGAGUAUUGCAUUGAAUGUACCGUAAGAAUAAGCAUCGGCUAACUCCGUGCCAGCAGCCGCGGUAAUACGGAGGAUGCGAGCGUUAUCCGGAUUUAUUGGGUUUAAAGGGUGCGUAGGUUGUUCGGUAAGUCAGCGGUGAAACCUGAGCGCUCAACGUUCAGCCUGCCGUUGAAACUGCCGGGCUUGAGUUCAGUGGCGGCAGGCGGAAUUCGUGGUGUAGCGGUGAAAUGCAUAGAUAUCACGAGGAACUCCGAUUGCGAAGGCAGCUUGCCAUACUGCGACUGACACUGAAGCACGAAGGCGUGGGUAUCAAACAGGAUUAGAUACCCUGGUAGUCCACGCAGUAAACGAUGAUUACUAGGAGUUUGCGAUAUACCGUCAAGCUUCCACAGCGAAAGCGUUAAGUAAUCCACCUGGGGAGUACGCCGGCAACGGUGAAACUCAAAGGAAUUGACGGGGGCCCGCACAAGCGGAGGAACAUGUGGUUUAAUUCGAUGAUACGCGAGGAACCUUACCCGGGAUUGAAAUGUAGAUGACGGAUGGUGAAAACCGUCUUCCCUUCGGGGCUUCUAUGUAGGUGCUGCAUGGUUGUCGUCAGCUCGUGCCGUGAGGUGUCGGCUUAAGUGCCAUAACGAGCGCAACCCACAUCGGUAGUCGCUAACAGUUUUCGCUGAGGACUCUACCGAGACUGCCGUCGUAAGGCGUGAGGAAGGUGUGGAUGACGUCAAAUCAGCACGGCCCUUACAUCCGGGGCGACACACGUGUUACAAUGGGAGGGACAAAGGGCAGCUACCGGGCGACCGGAUGCGAAUCUCUAAACCCUUCCCCAGUUCGGAUCGGAGUCUGCAACUCGACUCCGUGAAGCUGGAUUCGCUAGUAAUCGCGCAUCAGCCAUGGCGCGGUGAAUACGUUCCCGGGCCUUGUACACACCGCCCGUCAAGCCAUGGGAGUCGGGGGUACCUGAAGGGCGUAACCGCAAGGGGCGCACUAGGGUAAUACCGGUGACUGGGGCUA
RNAcentral lists this ribosomal RNA (1448 nucleotides) under uncultured organism. RNAcentral's name for it is "SSU rRNA". It matches the Rfam family "Bacterial small subunit ribosomal RNA". The record is from RNAcentral.